This 567-nucleotide small RNA is filed under the name Pan troglodytes (chimpanzee). Its description in RNAcentral is "processed transcript". Lineage: Eukaryota; Metazoa; Chordata; Mammalia; Primates; Hominidae. The record is from RNAcentral.
AGAUGCUUCUGGGUCGCGGUGUGCUAAGCGAGGAGUCCGAGUGUGUGAGCUUGAGAGCCGCGCGCUAGAGCGACCCGGCGAGGGAUGGCGGCCACCGGGACCGCGGCCGCCGCAGCCACGGGCAGGCUCCUGCUUCUGCUGCUGGUGGGGCUCACGGCGCCUGCCUUGGCGCUGGCCGGCUACAUCGAGGCUCUUGCAGCCAAUGCCGGAACAGGAUUUGCUGUUGCUGAGCCUCAAAUCGCAAUGUUUUGUGGGAAGUUAAAUAUGCAUGUGAACAUUCAGACUGGGAAAUGGGAACCUGAUCCAACAGGCACCAAGAGCUGCUUUGAAACAAAAGAAGAAGAGGAGGAAGAGGAGGAGGAAGAGGAAGAGGAAGAGGAAGACUAUGAUGUUUAUAAAAGUGAAUUUCCUACUGAAGCAGAUCUGGAAGACUUCACAGAAGCAGCUGUGGAUGAGGAUGAUGAGGAUGAGGAAGAAGGGGAGGAAGUGGUGGAGGACCGAGAUUACUACUAUGACACCUUCAAAGGAGAUGACUACAAUGAGGAGAAUCCUACUGAACCCGGCAGC